RNAcentral lists this ribosomal RNA (253 nucleotides) under uncultured bacterium. RNAcentral describes it as "partial 16S ribosomal RNA". It matches the Rfam family "Bacterial small subunit ribosomal RNA", at positions 524 to 776 of the family's 1533-position model. The record is from RNAcentral.
UACGGGGGGGGCAAGCGUUGUUCGGAAUUACUGGGCGUAGAGGGCGCGUAGGCGGCCUGCUAAGUCGGACGUGAAAUCCCCCGGCUCAACCGGGGAACUGCGUCCGAUACUGGUGGGCUCGAAUCCGGGAGAGGGAUGUGGAAUUCCAGGUGUAGCGGUGAAAUGCGUAGAUAUCUGGAGGAACACCGGUGGCGAAGGCGGCAUCCUGGACCGGCAUUGACGCUGAGGCGCGAAAGCCAGGGGAGCAAACGGG